Non-coding RNA from Oryza sativa Japonica Group (Japanese rice), 3605 nucleotides. The record is from RefSeq and is a predicted model, not a curated record. Lineage: Eukaryota; Viridiplantae; Streptophyta; Magnoliopsida; Poales; Poaceae.
AACCUCGUCCUCCCCGGCACAUGCACAAAACAUUGCCGGUCCCCUUCAACCUUGGCUCAUGCUCUCCGCUCUCCAUUCCUCCCCCUUCCUAUGAAUAAUACUGAAAAGACCAUAUUUUUAAUAUAUAUACAUAACAUUUCUAAUCUAAUUGUUACUCUGUUAAAUAAUUAAACCAACAAUUAUUGAUCCGUAAUGCCUAUAUUUUUAAUCUAAAAUAAGACUUGUAUAAAAUAAAGUAGAAAAGUAGAAAAAAAGUCAAUAGGGAUUGAAUCAAAUCAAUUAGAGAGAAUAUAGUAAUAAAUUUCUAAAAAAUAGAAAAUUGGAACAACCAUUGUAUGUUCCAUUGCCAUAACCAUCCAUCUGUCGUGGUAUUAUGAGUUUCUCAUAUAUUAUUGCAUAUAUAAGACAUACUAAGGUAGCCAGACGUAGUAGUACUUAGUUGGUUAAAAAGUUAUAUAUGUGCUACUAUCAACUUUAAAUUUAGGACUCAUAUUGCCUAGGUAUUUUUUUUAAAAGAACACCAUAAAUCACAUAUAUAAAAGGGAAAGGACGCAUACAAUAUAUAUAUCUCCUAUGUAUUUAUUGUCUCAUUCUUUCAAGAAAAUAAAGAAGAUCAUUGAUAAUUGCUUAUAGUAAUGAAUUAAAUAUUAUAUAGUUCAAACCUUACAAAUGUCUUGUAAAACAAUAUCUAAGCAAUAGCGAUGAAGAAAAUUUAUAAAGAAAUACUCCCUCCGUCCCAAAUUAUACCAACUAUAAUCAAACUCGGUAGCUUUUAACUAAUAAGCAUAGUAGCUAUAUCUAAGUAUUAUGCAUGUUACAUCACUAGAUUUAUAUUUUGAAGUACUUUCAUGUGAUGCUAAUUUCAUAUUUGUUGGGAUAGAAUGGAAUAAAGUACUGGUCAAAAUAUGUUAUUAAAACCUGUGUAAAAAAAAUAGGUCUUAUAAUUUGAGACAGAGGGAGUAGUAUUUUUCAAGCAUAGCAGGUAUCAUCCGAUUGAUAUUCCCAGUGUAACCUACUUUACAUGCCCGGGCGAAUGCGCGGGCUACCUUCCUAAUUAUGCUAAAACGAGUCCUUUUUUGGUUUCUAUUGUUUUCAAGGAUAGGAAGAUGUUGUUUGCUAUGUAUUAAUAGACACAGAGUAAAAAAGUACAAAAUAUUGGGGGGGGGGGGCGAAUAAAAAUAUGAUACUCUCCCCCAGUCCCAACAUUGGAAGAUUUCUGGGUUCUCACGCUAGCUGUAUAUAAAUACACCUAGGACAAUACUCAUAUUCCUCGCUUACUAACAAUGUCAAAUUCUCAAACCUCGAGUCUAUUACAAACACAAAGGGUACACUUUUAGUAGAUAUCGGUAGAAAAGGAAAUAUAUUGUGAAUAGGAGGACACGGGAUGAAGUCUGUCAGCAAUGAUGAAGGCGCUCUAGUUCCUUGGUCACUAGCACGAACAACAACGCAAAAUCCCAUUAGGGUAUUCCCAACCCUCCACCUCAGAUGGUUGUCUAUAGAAUCUAUUAGGCUGCCACAUAAGCAAAAUUCUGAUGUGGCAAGGUAAUUAAAGAAGUGAGGGAAGAAAAAAGAGAGAAACGGUGUCUCAUGCACAAAACCGGAUCGGCGCAGGCACCAAGACUCAGGAAACGAGAGAAAUCAGCGUUGGGGCAACUCAUUGUUUCUUCUGUCCGGAUUUUUCUCAAGCUCCUGAUCUUCUAUGCCUGUUCGGUACUACUACUCUGUAGAUUGAUGUUGAUCUUUGGGUAUAUGUAUUGAUGAGUGCCACAAUUGAUCCUUCUCUAUUCAUAUGACAUGCAAAGAGUCAUUAAAUUUUCUUGUCUAUAAAAACUGCUAUAGACACUAUGCAUUGGAGAGGUAGUGUCUACAUACAUUUAUUAUUGUUUCUGUUGUCUAGACACUAUCUAUAGACACCAUGGGUUAGGAUUGCCCUUACAGUCAGCACGCAACAUAGAACAUGCCGCCAUCCAUCACAUAUGUACUGCAUUUUGGGGCUGCUCUUGAUUAUGUAUGAUAUGCUUAGUGAUGAGCUGCCUUGGAGAUGUUACGAGCUCCUGUACUCAUACCAAUGGCCCCCAAGAGAUCAAUGUCCAUGAAAUAACCCAAGACCAUGCACCGGGAAUCGCUGCGGGAGGAAGAUUGGAAGCGAGCGUGGCACCUUUGUAGAGCGAGGACUCCGGAGAAGGGAAUUGGGAUUUCGGUUUUCCUACUUAGGGCUACUGUUGGAUCUUUUUUUUACAUAAAACUUAAAAGAAAACUUGAUUGGGAACAAAGACGGGAUUCUGUUGUGCAUUCUCUUAGAUGCGAGAGGUUAUAAGUGUAUAAAAAUAAGCACUUGGAUUGUCUAUGCCACGUGAUUCCGUCAGGUUUUUUCAUACAUGCAUUUUGGGUUGCACUUAGUUUUUUUUCCCAUUUUUCAGAUAUUAGAUUGCACUUAUUGUCGCCUGGAAAGAAGUUGGCUAAUGAUCUACUACGCUGCAGAGUUAGCUGAACACGAUGAAAGAUGAUUGAACUUACUACUCAUCAACAUGGUGCCUUGAACCCUUUUGCCCAAGAACAGCUACAGUGGUUACAUGAAAAGAAAUAAAUCUGCAACCUUAGUUUCAUGUUACAACUAUUGCAAAACAUUUAUUGAAAUUUACACAUGAAGAAUGGAAAAAAUAUAAUAUGCGCAUGCUUAAUUACAUUCCAUGGGCAGUUUCACUCUUGUGUUCUAUAUAUAAAAGUUGAAAAAAAUACUAAUAACAUCCUGACGAAGGGAGGGCCCAAGCAUAGUUAUAUGAAUAUUUGUGACUAAACUUGGGUAUUUAAAGGACACCGAAAUGAUAAACUUUGCAGUAAUCAUUAGUCAUAUGAACAGACAGAUUUUCGUGUCUCGGUGGAAUUGAAAUGUUGAGAACUUAAUGCCCACCUAAUUACCAUGUGUUUGGCUUCAAUGCCUUGGCACUGCCACUUUUAUUACUCAUCCUUGCUACAGUUAAGUAUACUAGCUAGCUAGGAGACUAGAGUGAUGAUAUAUAGCUAUAGAGGGGAAAAUUUGUGAAGAGUGGAAAUAAACCAACAAACAAUUUAACUCGCGAAAACACUUCUGGUCCAAAAAUGGUUCAAUUUUAGUUGGUAUCGAUAUGAUAUAAAAGAAAAUACGUUGUGAAUGGGAGGACACGGGAAGAAGUAUGUUGUUCGGGAUGAAGGGGCACUAAUCGAUUGGCCAUUAUCACCAGUAGCAAAGCAACUUGAAGCUACAGUCAGCACACAACAAACAAUCAGUCACGUAUGUACCGCAUGUUGGAUCUGUCUGGAUUAUCUGUGCUGCCUUGGUCCUUGGAGAUGCUACGAAAUCAUCGUCACAUCCGAUUGGCAGAACAGAAGAUGAAGGCCCAACCCAACACCACAUCUCAAAAGCUCAGCAGGAUAAACAUUGGAAUAUCGAAAUGUUUUACCCUAUUACACUGGUUGCUUCUAAAAAAAAGUGUGGAACAUCAGUUUGUGUUAAAACUGUUCCAAAAACACUUCAUGAAUAGGAAGAUGAUCUUGUGUGCAUACCUUCCUUAAGGCGUCAAUGUUUAGUUCCAUACAUAAAAAAAUUAAAAAAAAUACACAAAACA